This 435-nucleotide ribosomal RNA is filed under the name uncultured bacterium. Its description in RNAcentral is "partial 16S ribosomal RNA". It matches the Rfam family "Bacterial small subunit ribosomal RNA", at positions 28 to 507 of the family's 1533-position model. The record is from RNAcentral.
GAUGAACGCUGGCGGUAUGCUUAACACAUGCAAGUCGAACGGACUCUUCGGAGUUAGUGGCGGACGGGUGAGUAACGCGUGAGAAUCUGGCUUUGGGUUCGGGACAACCACUGGAAACGGUGGCUAAUACCGGAUGUGCCGAGAGGUAAAAGAGAAAUUGCCUGAAGAUGAGCUCGCGUCUGAUUAGCUAGUUGGUGAGGUAAGGGCUCACCAAGGCAGCGAUCAGUAGCUGGUCUGAGAGGAUGACCAGCCACACUGGGACUGAGACACGGCCCAGACUCCUACGGGAGGCAGCAGUGGGGAAUUGUCCGCAAUGGGCGAAAGCCUGACGGAGCAAUACCGCGUGAGGGAAGAAGGCUCUUGGGUUGUAAACCUCUUUUCUUAGGGAAGAACAAAAUGACGGUACCUAAGGAAUCAGCAUCGGCUAACUCCGUG